AUUGAACGCUGGCGGCAGGCCUAACACAUGCAAGUCGAGCGGAUGAAGGGUGCUUGCUCCUGGAUUCAGCGGUGGACGGGUGAGUAAUGCCUAGGAAUCUGCCUGGUAGUGGGGGAUAACGUCCGGAAACGGGCGCUAAUACCGCAUACGUCCUGAGGGAGAAAGUGGGGGAGCUUCGGACCUCACGCUAUCAGAUGAGCCUAGGUCGGAUUAGCUAGUUGGUGGGGUAAAGGCCUACCAAGGCGACGAUCCGUAACUGGUCUGAGUGGAUGAUCAGUCACACUGGAACUGUGACACGGUCCAGACUCCUACGGGAGGCAGCAGUGGGGAAUAUUGGGCAAAGGGCGAAAGCCUGAUCCAGCCAUGCCGCGUGUGUGAGGAAGGUCUUCGGAUUGUAAAGCACUUUAAGUUGGGAGGAAGGGCAGUAAGUUAAUACCUUGCUGUUUUGACGUUACCAACAGAAUAAGCCCCGGCUUACUUCGUG
RNAcentral lists this ribosomal RNA (484 nucleotides) under uncultured bacterium. Its description in RNAcentral is "partial 16S ribosomal RNA". It matches the Rfam family "Bacterial small subunit ribosomal RNA", at positions 30 to 507 of the family's 1533-position model. The record is from RNAcentral.